RNAcentral lists this long non-coding RNA (214 nucleotides) under Citrus sinensis (sweet orange). Its description in RNAcentral is "long non-coding RNA (CSIN_LNC005627)". Lineage: Eukaryota; Viridiplantae; Streptophyta; Magnoliopsida; Sapindales; Rutaceae. The record is from RNAcentral.
UUUGUUUGAUCUUGCAUUUUGGCUUCUUCUUUUUAAGGUUCCAUUGCGACUCUUCUCAAACUACCAUGUUUUUUGUUGGAUUGAAUGAUUAAUUUUCUUGUUUGUUGCAUGAGCAGUCUUUCUAUUUCAUAUCUUUUUAUUUGUUGACUUUAACAUCUUCAGAAACCAUCAGAUUUAUAUUAACUUUAUUAUUUCUCGUUUUAGUAAAUCAUGU